Molecule: ribosomal RNA, 219 nt
Filed under: uncultured bacterium
Lineage: Bacteria
Description: partial 16S ribosomal RNA
Rfam family: Bacterial small subunit ribosomal RNA
Source: RNAcentral
GAUCAUGGCUCAGGAUGAACGCUAGCUACAGGCUUAACACAUGCAAGUCGAGGGGCAGCAUGGUCUUAGCUUGCUAAGACUGAUGGCGACCGGCGCACGGGUGAGUAACACGUAUCCAACCUGCCGUCUACUCUUGGACAGCCUUCUGAAAGGAAGAUUAAUACAAGAUGGCAUCAUGAGUCCGCAUGUUCACAUGAUUAAAGGUAAUUCGUGGACGGA